AGAGGUUGAUCGGCCACAUUGGGACUGAGAUACGGCCCAAACUCCUACGGGAGGCAGCAGUAGGGAAUCUUCCACAAUGGGCGAAAGCCUGAUGGAGCAACGCCGCGUGGGUGAAGAAGGUCUUCGGAUCGUAAAACCCUGUUGUUAGAGAAGAAAGUGCGUGAGAGUAACUGUUCACGUUUCGACGGUAUCUAACCAGAAAGCCACGGCUAACUACGUGCCAGCAGCCGCGGUAAUACGUAGGUGGCAAGCGUUAUCCGGAUUUAUUGGGCGUAAAGGGAACGCAGGCGGUCUUUUAAGUCUGAUGUGAAAGCCUUCGGCUUAACCGGAGUAGUGCAUUGGAAACUGGGAGACUUGAGUGCAGAAGAGGAGAGUGGAACUCCAUGUGUAGCGGUGAAAUGCGUAGAUAUAUGGAAGAACACCAGUGGCGAAAGCGGCUCUCUGGUCUGUAACUGACGCUGAGGUUCGAAAGCGUGGGUAGCAAACAGGAUUAGAUACCCUGGUAGUCCACGCCGUAAACGAUGAAUACGAAGUGUUGGAGAGUUUCCGCCCUUCAGUG
Molecule: ribosomal RNA, 559 nt
Filed under: uncultured bacterium
Lineage: Bacteria
Description: bacterial SSU rRNA
Rfam family: Bacterial small subunit ribosomal RNA
Source: RNAcentral